GACGAACGCUGGCGGCGUGCUUAACACAUGCAAGUCGAACGGUGAAGCGCUUUCCUUUUUGGUUGGUGUGGAUGAGUGGCGAACGGGUGAGUAACACGUGAGUAACCUGCCCCCUUCUUCUGGAUAACCGCAUGAAAGUGUGGCUAAUACGGGAUAUUCUGCGCCUGCUGCAUGGUGGGUGUGGGAAAGAUUGUGCCUUUGGGUGUUUUCGGUGGGGGAUGGGCUCGCGGCCUAUCAGCUUGUUGGUGGGGUGAUGGCCUACCAAGGCGGUGACGGGUAGCCGGGCUGAGAGGGUGGACGGUCACACUGGGACUGAGACACGGCCCAGACUCCUACGGGAGGCAGCAGUGGGGAAUAUUGCACAAUGGGCGCAAGCCUGAUGCAGCGACGCCGCGUGAGGGAUGGAGGCCUUCGGGUUGUGAACCUCUUUCGCCAGUGAAGCAGGCCUGCUCCUUGUGGGUGGGUUGACGGUAGCUGGAGAAGAAGCGCCGGCUAACUACGUG
This 503-nucleotide ribosomal RNA is filed under the name uncultured bacterium. RNAcentral describes it as "partial 16S ribosomal RNA". It matches the Rfam family "Bacterial small subunit ribosomal RNA", at positions 28 to 507 of the family's 1533-position model. The record is from RNAcentral.